GCUUACGGGAAGGAGAGCUGGAGCCGGGGGAAGUGCCUCCUUCAGCCAGAUUAGUUAUUGGAAACUAGUUUCCUGGGGUCAGCCAGUUCUCCCAGACGGGAGAGUCUGUGGCUGUCUGGGAUCUUCUCUAGAGGUGUGGGAUCAGAGGAGAUGGGCCCAUAGCAUCAGCUCUUGGCUUCUGCCUUCAACCCCAGCAGUGUACUUCAAGGAGCAAUGGAGGAGAAAUCACCUUGGCCACCAGAGGAUGGAUACAACCCUCACUGCCAGCUGAAACACAGGUGAAGGAACCCCAGGGGAGGAUCUUGGGUCGCAGUGAGCCGUUCCAACUCUGCCCCAUGCUCGCUCAGAGUGACUCACUAAGCAACUGCCAGCAUUCCUCUCUGAUAUCACAACUGUGUUUGAUUAGGAUCUUGAGUGAAAUAAGCCACUCGCUUCAUUGGGAAUGUCUCAGAGCUAAAAGUUUCUUUCUAUGCAUAAUUAAUAUUCUACCUCUUUGAAGAUAAAUUCUAUCUAUCCUACUCUGCAAAUGGAUCAUUUCCCCUUGGCUAUUCCUAUGUCAUGUCUCUACCAAAAGUAAAAUAAAAUACAAGGGAAAAAAGAAAAUAUAAAGAAUAAAUCUGCGCUAAAAAUGAUUCACAUUUUUAUUCCCAGUGUGAAAAGCUCAAGAAUGUUUUUAAUGCGUGUCCAGCUUGAAACCCGCUGCAAAUGUCUUACAACAUUUUGUAACAGGCUUUUCCCAUCUGUGCUGAAAGCAGCUGAUGAUUUAAUGCAAAUUGUUAUUGUUUCACAAUCUCCCAAUGAUCUUUUCUAUUUUGGAUUAGCAUUUGGGGUCUCGUUUGCAUCUGCUUCAGAAAUUCAACUGCUGGGAUUGGUUUUUUACUGCGGCCAUUCUGUGUUCUACAGUAUCCUACAUCCUUCAUGUUUCAAGUUCUACUCAUUUUUAAAAACAUGUUCGCUAUCUUCAAUCUCAUAAGACUCUUCAUUUUCUCAACAUUAAAACCUGGCUUUACUGCUCUCAGAACCUUAAACAGUGAAGCAAAGGAGGUAUGACAUGAAGCACUGGUCACCAAGAGACUGUGGUGGUGUCUGCAAAUCCCUAUGAAAGCCUGGCAUUGUCUAUUUCAAUAGACAUUUAAAAUAUAUGAUACACUGUGCCUAAUGUGUGAAUAAGUCAUCAUAUGUAUAUGUAAUUAUUAUAUAUAUACACACAUAUAUAAUUUUUUCAAGAGUAUAUAAAUAGUAUUGUGAUGAAUAGAAUUUAUUUUCAUGGCAUUACUAAUUUCACAGCUCUUUAUACAUUAUGUUGUGCUUCUUGUCGCCAUCAAUAAAAAGCACGAUUACCAACAAAAAAGGAAAUUAAUAUUGUUGCAACACAAUCUUUGAUUUUGAUAAAACCUUUGCAUCGAUCCCAGUGGUAGGUGAC
Molecule: long non-coding RNA, 1423 nt
Filed under: Marmota monax (woodchuck)
Lineage: Eukaryota; Metazoa; Chordata; Mammalia; Rodentia; Sciuridae
Source: RNAcentral